CCUACGGGAGGCAGCAGUGGGGAAUAUUGCGCAAUGGGCGAAAGCCUGACGCAGCGACGCCGCGUGAGGGAUGAAGGUCUUCGGAUCGUAAACCUCUGUCAGCAGGGAAGAACGGUCACUGUGCUAAUCAGCAGUGAAUUGACGGUACCUGCAAAGGAAGCACCGGCUAACUCCGUGCCAGCAGCCGCGGUAAUACGGAGGGUGCGAGCGUUAAUCGGAAUUACUGGGCGUAAAGCGCUCGUAGGCGGUAUGUCAAGUCAAGGGUGAAAGCCCCGCGCUCAACGUGGGAACUGCCUUUGAAACUGGGCAACCUGAGUGUGUUAGAGGAUAGGGGGAAUUCAGGGGUAGGAGGGAAA
Molecule: ribosomal RNA, 356 nt
Filed under: uncultured bacterium
Lineage: Bacteria
Description: partial 16S ribosomal RNA
Rfam family: Bacterial small subunit ribosomal RNA
Source: RNAcentral